Molecule: long non-coding RNA, 3532 nt
Filed under: Heterocephalus glaber (naked mole-rat)
Lineage: Eukaryota; Metazoa; Chordata; Mammalia; Rodentia; Bathyergidae
Description: lncRNA (ENSHGLG00100034349.1)
Source: RNAcentral
GUUAUUUCUAAGAAAUAAAACCUGAUAACUUGUUUCUUUUAUGUUUAUUUCUGUGCAUUCCUGAAAUAAUUAAUUGGAAGGUUAAAAAUUAUAAUAAUGCCUAAAAACUUUGGCAUCCAUUAAAAUAAUCAAAAUUUUUAUUUAUUUGGUUUACUAACAUGUUUCCCUUUUUUUUUUUUUUUUUUUGGGACCAGGGAUUGAACUUGAGUCCUUGUGCUUGCGCAGCAGGUGGCGAAACCACUCCCUUUUUCUUUUUUGAUUGCCACAGGAUCUGGGCCUCACUACCGUGUGGGAAGAUCAGCUUUCUUAUCUUUUGUCGCCAGCCCUGGCCUCCUAUGAAUUUGAGCGCACAACGAGCAUAUCUGCAGGAAAUGAGGAGUUUCAGGACGCCAUCAGGAGGGCUGUGCCUGACGGGCACACAUUUAAGGGCUUCCCCAUCCACUUCGUGUACAGAAAUGCAAGGCGUGCAUUUGCCACGUGUCUUCGGUCCCCGUUUUGUGAAGAAAUAAUCUGUUGCCGUGGAGACCAAGUGCACUGGCAGUGCGUGUCCAGUGUUCACUUACCCUGAGUCGGCCUGUGCUGUUUGGAUCAUGUUUGCUUGUAAAUAUCGCUCUGUGUUGUAGGACUAAAUUGCCACAAGAAUUAUACCUGCAUUUUAUUGGAGUUUUUCACAUUGUGCACUACCAGCUAUUGGAGGUUUCUUAUUUUAAAAUAUCAUAAUCUAGCUUGGAUGUCAUAUUUCAGAUUUGUAUAGAUAUUUUGGUUUUUUGUGUGUGUGUGUUUCAUUUUUUGGUGUUUUUUUUUUUGGUAUCAGGGACCAAACUCAGGACCUUGUGCUUGCAAGGCAGCGCGCGGAACCACUGAGCUAAAUCCCCAGCCCUUUGUAUAGAUAUUUUAAAAUGAUCAUGUGUAUAUUUAAAAAUCAAAGAUGAAAAUGUGUAUAAAUCUUAGUUGAAUGUAGUAUAAAUUAAGUAUAUAUUCUAUUUUAAUAAAUGCUGCUUUGUCUGUAGGUAUCUGGUAGUUUAAAUAUGAAUAUAAAAUUUACUCAGUUUUUUAACACUUAUAAGUAACCAGAGAAGUAUUUGUCUAAUAAGAUCAAAAUGAUGAUUAUUUUUCGUAGGUGAAUGAGAUUAUCUUUCACAAAUUAAGGAGAAAUUAACCUUACAACUGUACAGCCAUACCACCCUGAAUGCGCCCAAUCUCGUCAUAUCUGAAGCUAAGCAGGGCUGGGCCUGUUAGUACUUGGAUGAGAAACCUCACAACAGACUUGCUUAUUACGUGGGUGAAAAUAUAUUUUACCAAGUCAUCACUUUUGUGGUUCACCUAUGAUGCUAGGGAUCUUUGAGAUUUUCCAGAAAUGCAUGAGAAGACUCUGAAGUAAGAACAGGAAAAAAUACCAGGAAAGCAUAGAUAUGAAUAACAAAGCUCACAUGAAAGUACAUGGAUAAUUUAUAAAUACUUAUUAUCAAAAUUGAGUAUUUUAGAAAAAAAUAGGUUGCACCCUUUUGUCAUGAACAUUUUCUGUAAUUAACAUUGCGAGUCUAUCCCUGAUUUUUGGUGGUCAAAAGAUUAAUUUGUUUUUGGUUUUUUUGUUUUUUAUUUAUAUAUUAAUUGGUACAUUUUAGGUAUGAAAUACGUUUACAUUUAUCAUUGGGUGCUUGUACCUGAACGUGAUGAAUCUUGGUUCUUAUUUUUUUCCCCAUUACCUGUGCGCCCUUCACCCCCUCCACCCCCUCCCCUAUUUACAUAGACUUUGUUUCCUUUUUUCUUUUCUUUUUUUUUUUUCUUAUGAGAAUAAUUUUUCCUUUCCUUUCUUCCCUUUCCCCUUCCCCUCCCGCCACCCGUACGCCUUUGCACCUUUUCCUAUUUCAAAGUUUAAUAUUUUUUAAAGAUUAAUUUCUUUAUGGAUUCCACCCUCCGAAACUGAUUUUCCCCUUCUUUCUCGUGUUACCAGAUGAGUCAUUGUGUGAGGCCCCUGGGAAGAGCGUGAGCGGCUCCACGCCUGCUUACUUCACACUUGAGCAAGUUUAAAGCGUUCAUUUUAAGGGGGAGCAAAGGGAGCAUUGAAAACAGUCACAGUUCAGCUGGGAGAAGCUGUGGACUAGGUGGCGGGCUUGGCUGUCCACGUGGUGUGUGUGGUGUCUCCGCAGUGUCUGGGAACGGAGCCUGCCCUGGGCAGGUGUGGUGCCUCUGAGCAGCACCCCGGGCACCGCAGUUUUAAUUUGGCCGUUUGCCUGUCAGUCUUCCUGAGCAAAUGAGGUCUUCCUUUCAUUACUUUAAUUCACUACUGCAGAGGGUGGUUUUGAUUUUAAAAAUUAAAAAUAUCUGGGGCCAGGGAUGUAGCUCAGUGGUUCUGCUGCCUGCCUUGCAAGCACAAGGACCCAAGUUCGAUCCCUGGUACCAAAAAAACAAACAAACUAGAAAUAUCUUAAAAUAUUCUUUUAUGCAUAUAUAUAUAUAUAUAUAUAUAAUGAAUAUGAUUUAGCUUGUUUUAAAAGUCUAAUACAUUACUCAUAUUGAUUUUCGUUGAAAAUGGUACUCAGAUGUUUCUUAUAGACUGACAUUAGAGAAUUCAUAAAUAAGAAUGAAGACAUCUUAUCUGUUGCCAGAAUUACACAUAAAGCUAUCAACAGAUAAAACUGCUUGUAACUUCCAACUUGAGACAGACUGUAAAGCGCCCCACGAAGAGGCAGGCUGUGUUGGGACAGUCUUUCUUUUUUUCCAGUCCCACAUGACACAUGUAUUUCAAAUGUGCUUUGGGUAUAAAUGUUCAAAUAAACUCACUUCUUACUUGCUUCAGUAGUCUUGCAUCACUGUUUCCCUUUAAGAGGUUCACUUCAUACGACUACUUCACUGAGUGAUCACUAGGAUUCGCUAACAAUAACUUUUUUUGUUUUUGGUACUGGGGAUUGAACUCGGGUCCUUGCGCUUGCGCAGCAAGCGGCAAAACCACUGAGCUAAAUCCCCGCCCCCACUAACAAUAACUUUUUAGAAUUAAAUUUACCAUGUAUGUUUAGCCGUCAUAGUUCUUUCUAUUAAAAUGUAAACAUUUUUAUAUAAUGUCUCCAGUGUGUUCUUGCUUUGAUGAUUUGUAGAUACAAUCCUCUGUGAUGCAUAUUUUAUAUACAUGUAUUGAUUUAGAAGAUGUGGCUCAGUGGUAGAGUGCUUGCAGAGCAUGUCAAGGUCCCUCGGUUCAAUUCCCAGAAGGACCAGAAUAAACACACUUUGAUUAGUAGAAAAAUAUUAGAAACUUAUUUCAUUACUCAAGCAUGAACCUAUUGAAUAAAACAUUCAGUUCCAACUAACUUCAGAGUCUUUCUAGUAGCUAGCUAGGUGUACAUCUUUAGAUAUGAUCUGCAGAAUCAUUUGUAACCUGGCAGUAUUGGAAAGUACAAACAUUUGAGGCUCAUUUUUCUACUGCUUAACCACGCUUGAGCCAAAGUACAGGCUGUGUAUUUGAAGAGAGUAUUGUUCAUAAAAGUAGUACUCUGUGCUAUAUAUCUGAUGAUCAGAAAGUAGUAAGCUCAUUCAU